AGCGAACGCUGGCGGCAUGCUUAACACAUGCAAGUCGCACGACCGGGUUUCGGCCUGGGAGUGGCGGACGGGUGAGUAUCGCGUAGGGAUUUUGUCGUUGGGGUGGGGGACGAACCUUGGGAAACGUGGGGCGUAAUAACCGCCAUGACGGCCUUUGGGUCCGAAAGACUCGAGAGGGCGCCUGACGAGGAGCCUGCGUCCGAUUAGGUAGUUGGUUGGGUGAUGGCUGACCAAGCCUGCGANCGGUAGCU
RNAcentral lists this ribosomal RNA (251 nucleotides) under uncultured bacterium. RNAcentral describes it as "partial 16S ribosomal RNA". It matches the Rfam family "Bacterial small subunit ribosomal RNA", at positions 28 to 288 of the family's 1533-position model. The record is from RNAcentral.